RNAcentral lists this ribosomal RNA (977 nucleotides) under metagenome. RNAcentral's name for it is "bacterial LSU rRNA". It matches the Rfam family "Bacterial large subunit ribosomal RNA", at positions 1953 to 2925 of the family's 2925-position model. The record is from RNAcentral.
AAGGUAGCGAAAUUCCUUGUCGGGUAAGUUCCGACCUGCACGAAUGGCGUAACGACUUCUCCGCUGUCUCGACCACAGGCCCGGUGAAAUUGCACUACGAGUAAAGAUGCUCGUUUCGCGCGGCAGGACGGAAAGACCCCGGGACCUUUACUAUAGCUUGGUAUUGGUGUUUGGUUCGGCUUGUGUAGGAUAGGUGGGAGACUGGGAAGCGGUCACGCUAGUGGUCGUGGAGUCGUUGGUGAAAUACCACUCUGGUCGUUCUGGGCAUCUAACCUGGGUCCGUGAUCCGGAUUGGGGACAGUGCCUGGUGGGUAGUUUAACUGGGGCGGUUGCCUCCUAAAGGGUAACGGAGGCGCCCAAAGGUUCCCUCAGCCUGGUUGGUCAUCAGGUGUUGAGUGUAAGUGUAUAAGGGAGCUUGACUGUGAGACUGACGGGUCGAGCAGGUGCGAAAGCAGGGACUAGUGAUCCGGCACUGACUGGUGGUAGUGGUGUCGCUCAACGGAUAAAAGGUACCCCGGGGAUAACAGGCUGAUCUUGCCCAAGAGUCCAUAUCGACGGCAUGGUUUGGCACCUCGAUGUCGGCUCGUCGCAUCCUGGGGCUGGAGUUGGUCCCAAGGGUUGGGCUGUUCGCCCAUUAAAGCGGCACGCGAGCUGGGUUUAGAACGUCGUGAGACAGUUCGGUCCCUAUCCGCCGCGCGCGUAGGAGUCGUGAGGAAGGCUGUCCCUAGUACGAGAGGACCGGGACGGACGGACCUCUGGUGUGCCAGUUGUUCCGCCAGGAGCAGGGCUGGUUGGCUAUGUUCGGGAGGGAUAACCGCUGAAAGCAUCUAAGCGGGAAGCCUGUUCCGAGAUGAGGUCUCCCACCCGGAUGUUGUCCGGGGUAAGGCUCCCAGGAGAUGACUGGGUUGACAGGCCAGAUGUGGAAGCGCAGUAAUGUGUGGAGCUGACUGGUGCUGAUAGGCCGAGGACUUGUUCAC